RNAcentral lists this long non-coding RNA (1467 nucleotides) under Canis lupus familiaris (dog). RNAcentral's name for it is "lncRNA (ENSCAFG00805002352.1, ENSCAFG00845013519.1)". The record is from RNAcentral. Lineage: Eukaryota; Metazoa; Chordata; Mammalia; Carnivora; Canidae.
UUUUCUUUUUUUUUUUUUUGAAACACUUUUCAAAAGAGCUGUCAUAAGUCCCCAAUCCUUCAGGCGGGCUCCAUCUUUCCCCAGCAGGCUCCUAAAUCUCCAUCACCCAUGAUCCCACAGUUCUAUGAUCUACUUACAUGUGUGUCUGAACUCGACAAUUAGCCUUUACAUCUGAUUGCUAUAGUCCUGGAGUGGUGGCCCAGGGCCUUUCUUAUGCCUACCAGAGGACCAAGAAACCCUUGCUAAGUGGAACAGAAUUGCACGAUUGUUUUCUUUAUAUGGUUAAACUAAUUAAAUAGUGUAUUUUAAGAUACAAGCUUUCUUCCUUACUCAGACUAGUUUUUUGUUUUGUUUUUUUGUAAAUGCAACUAAAUUGAAACAAUGACUCAUAAACCAUGAGCCUGGGAGAAAAUCUUUGAGAGUACCUCUCUCAAACCUUCAUUUAUUAACUGUACCCAUUUCCUCAAUGUUACUGUGUUCGCCCAGAAGAGGAGACUGAGGUCCAGCUAAGUGACAAUGUCAAGAGUGCACAGUCGUUAGUGAAAGAGUGGAGGCCAGGACUUGGGCUUUCUGACUCCUGACGUAGUGCUCACUUUGCCUGCCAUGCUGCAGCAGCACCAAUCAGUUUAGGGAGUGUAAUUCCAAGUGCUGCAGUUUUCCAUGAAAACAUCUGCGAUGUGCAAAAAGGCUGGGGUUUCUUGAACUUUUCAGUUCUCUAGGAUUUUUAUGAAAUUAAAAAUAAAGUCACAAGCCAUAAAGUUUCCCCGUGAUUGUUUUCUCCUAAACUGUCAUGUUCGACGGCAGAACAUUUGUUCUGGUUUCAUCUCAUAAACUGGAGAAUCCACUAACGAUAACUAAAGAAGCCACCAGGUUUCUAAUAGAAAAUAUAAUCCAUUUAACAAAAAGUCAGAAUCCAUACCUACUGCUAUUUGGAUGGUGUCUAAACAAAUAAGCAGCUGCAGACCAAGGCAAGGGCUUUGAACUGUGCACUCCUCCCACCUCCGAUAUUAGCUGAAAUCGGAUGCCAACUGUAUCCAAGGUGGAGACUCAAUAUAAUUGGAACUUGCAAAAUUUGGUAAUAGAUUCUAAUUUAGAGUGUGUGGACUAUAACAUACAGGUAGGAGUUAUUCAGAACUGGGAAGGACAUAGCUCCACAUACUCACUGUCAUAACCUGAAAUGUCUAACCACAUCCAGAGAAGGUUUGUUCUGCAACAAGGAAAGACACAUAAGCUUUGGAGCUUAGAUGGGCCAGGGUUUAAAUUCUGAUUCUAUCACUUCACAUCUCUGUGAAUUAGGAACUAAUCUAUCCUCACUGAACCUGUUACCGCUUGGGUAAAAUAGUAAUAACAAUACGCUUCCCAUAGGGUUUCGGAAGAUAACAUAGGGAAAAAAAAUGUAAAUGCGCCUGGUACAAUGGUUGGCACGUAGCAGGUGAAGCCGCAGUCAAGCGAAUGUGGAUAAAAUGA